This 252-nucleotide ribosomal RNA is filed under the name uncultured Bacteroidales bacterium. RNAcentral describes it as "partial 16S ribosomal RNA". It matches the Rfam family "Bacterial small subunit ribosomal RNA", at positions 524 to 776 of the family's 1533-position model. The record is from RNAcentral. Lineage: Bacteria; Pseudomonadati; Bacteroidota; Bacteroidia; Bacteroidales.
UACGGAGGAUGCGAGCGUUAUCCGGAUUUAUUGGGUUUAAAGGGUGCGUAGGCGGCGAGUUAAGUCAGCGGUAAAAGCCCGGGGCUCAACCCCGGCGAGCCGUUGAAACUGCCGUGCUAGAGAGGAAGAGAAGUAGGCGGAAUGCGCAGUGUAGCGGUGAAAUGCUUAGAUAUCGCGCAGAACCCCGAUUGCGAAGGCAGCAUACCGGUGCACAACUGACGCUCAGGCACGAAAGCGUGGGUAUCGAACAGG